Molecule: ribosomal RNA, 460 nt
Filed under: uncultured bacterium
Lineage: Bacteria
Description: partial 16S ribosomal RNA
Rfam family: Bacterial small subunit ribosomal RNA
Source: RNAcentral
CCUACGGGUGGCAGCAGUGAGGAAUAUUGGUCAAUGGACGAGAGUCUGAACCAGCCAAGUAGCGUGAAGGAUGACUGCCCUAUGGGUUGUAAACUCCUUUUAUAUGGGAAUAAAAUGUUCCACGUGUGGGAUUUUGUAUGUACCAUAUGAAUAAGGAUCGGCUAACUCCGUGCCAGCAGCCGCGGUAAUACGGAGGAUCCGAGCGUUAUCCGGAUUUAUUGGGUUUAAAGGGAGCGUAGGUGGAUUGUCAAGUCAGUUGUGAAAGUUUGCGGCUCAACCGUAAAAUUGCAGUUGAAACUGGCAGUCUUGAGUACAGUAGAGGUGGGCGGAAUUCGUGGUGUAGCGGUGAAAUGCUUAGAUAUCACGAAGAACUCCGAUUGCGAAGGCAGUUCACUGGACUCCAACUGACACUGAGGCUCGAAAGUGUGGGUAUCAAACAGGAUUAGAUACCCCAGUAGUC